This 469-nucleotide ribosomal RNA is filed under the name uncultured bacterium. RNAcentral's name for it is "bacterial SSU rRNA". It matches the Rfam family "Bacterial small subunit ribosomal RNA", at positions 335 to 796 of the family's 1533-position model. The record is from RNAcentral.
ACUCCUACGGGAGGCAGCAGUGGGGAAUCUUGGACAAUGGGCGCAAGCCUGAUCCAGCCAUACCGCGUGGGUGAAGAAGGCCUUCGGGUUGUAAAGCACUUUUAUCAGGAGCGAAAUACUACCGGCUAAUACCCGGUGGGGCUGACGGUACCUGAGGAAUAAGCACCGGCUAACUUCGUGCCAGCAGCCGCGGUAAUACGAAGGGUGCAAGCGUUAAUCGGAAUUACUGGGCGUAAAGCGUGCGUAGGCGGUCUUUUAAGUCUGCUGUGAAAUCCCCGGGCUCAACCUGGGAAUGGCAGUGGAUACUGGGAGGCUAGAGUGUGAGAGAGGAUGGUGAAAUUCCCGGUGUAGCGGUGAAAUGCGUAGAGAUCGGGAGGAACAUCAGUGGCGAAGGCGGCCAUCUGGCUCAACACUGACGCUGAGGCACGAAAGCGUGGGGAGCAAACAGGAUUAGAAACCCCAGUAGUCC